CCUUAUUGGAGAGUUUGAUCCUGGCUCAGGACGAACGCUGGCGGCGUGCCUAAUACAUGCAAGUCGAGCGGACUAAGAGCGAUCUUCGGAUCGCUCAAGGUUAGCGGCGGACGGGUGAGUAACACGUAGGUAACCUGCCCAUAAGACUGGGAUAACUACCGGAAACGGUAGCUAAUACCGGAUAGGUUCUUCUC
This 194-nucleotide ribosomal RNA is filed under the name Paenibacillus sp. PDC88. RNAcentral's name for it is "16S rRNA. Bacterial SSU". It matches the Rfam family "Bacterial small subunit ribosomal RNA", at positions 1 to 185 of the family's 1533-position model. The record is from RNAcentral. Lineage: Bacteria; Bacillati; Bacillota; Bacilli; Caryophanales; Paenibacillaceae.